GACGAACGCUGGCGGCGUGCCUAAUACAUGCAAGUUGAGCGCUGAAGGUUGGUACUUGUACCAACUGGAUGAGCAGCGAACGGGUGAGUAACGCGUGGGGAAUCUGCCUUUGAGCGGGGGACAACAUUUGGAAACGAAUGCUAAUACCGCAUAAAAACUUUAAACACAAGUUUUAAGUUUGAAAGAUGCAAUUGCAUCACUCAAAGAUGAUCCCGCGUUGUAUUAGCUAGUUGGUGAGGUAAAGGCUCACCAAGGCGAUGAUACAUAGCCGACCUGAGAGGGUGGUCGGCCACAUUGGGACGGAGGCACGGCCCAAACGACUACGGGAGGCAGCAGUAGGGAAUCUUCGGCAAUGGAUGAAAGUCUGACCGAGCCACGGCGCGUGAGGGAAGAAGGGUGUCGGAUCGUAACACUCUGUUGGUAGAGAAGAACGGUGGUGAGAGUGGAAAGCUCAUCAAGUGACGGUAACUACACAGAAAGGGACGGCUAACUACGUG
This 497-nucleotide ribosomal RNA is filed under the name uncultured bacterium. RNAcentral describes it as "partial 16S ribosomal RNA". It matches the Rfam family "Bacterial small subunit ribosomal RNA", at positions 28 to 507 of the family's 1533-position model. The record is from RNAcentral.